RNAcentral lists this long non-coding RNA (1023 nucleotides) under Apteryx haastii (Great spotted kiwi). RNAcentral's name for it is "lncRNA (ENSAHAG00000007783.1)". Lineage: Eukaryota; Metazoa; Chordata; Aves; Apterygiformes; Apterygidae. The record is from RNAcentral.
AUGAGUAGGAAGUCAAGCAAAGGAGGCAGGAGACCUGCAUGGAUGAGCAAGGAGCUCCUGGCAAAACUCAACCAGAAGAAGAAAGUCUACAGAAAGUGGAAAGGGGGACAGGCCACUUGGGAGGAAUAUAGGAAUGUUGUCAGAGUAUGCAGGGAUGUCACGAGGAAGGCUGAGGCCCGUUUGGAAUUAAAUCUGGCGAGAGAUGUCAAGGACAGCAAGAAGGGCUUCUUCAAAUACAUCAGUAGCAAGAGGAAGACUAGGGAAAAUGUGGGCCCUUUGCUGGAUGGGGUGGGUGCCCUGGUGACGAAGGAUGCAGAGAAGGCAGAGUUACUGAAUGCCUUCUUUGCUUCAGUCCUUACUGCUCAGGCCAGCCCUCAGGAAUCCCAGACCCUGGAGACAAGGGAGAGAGUCUGGAGAAAGGAAGACUUUCCCUUGGUCGAGGAGGAUCGGGUUAGAGAUCAUUUAAACAAACUUGACACCCACAAAUCCAUGGGCCCUGAUGGGAUGCACCCACGAGUGCUGAGGGAGCUGGCGGAUGUCAUUGCUAAGCCACUCUCCAUCAUCUUUGAAAGGUCAUGGAGAACAGGAGAGGUGCCUGAAGACUGGAAGAAAGCCAAUGUCACCCCAGUCUUCAAAAAGGGCAAGAAGGAGGACCCAGGGAACUACAGGCCAGUCAGCCUCACCUGCAUCCCUGGAAAGGUGAUGGAGCAGCUCAUCCUGGAGGCCAUCUCCAAGCAUGUGGAGGACAAGAAGGUGAUCAGGAGUAGUCAGCAUGGCUUCACCAAGGGGAAAUCAUGCCUAACCAAUCUGAUAGCCUUCUCUGAUGGGAUGACUGGCUGGGUAGAUGAGGGGAGAGCAGUGGAUGUUGUUUACCUUGACUUCAGCAAGGCUUUUGACACUGUCUCCCAUAACAUCCUCAUAGACAAGCUCAGGAAGUGUGGGCUAGAUGAGUGGACAGUGAGGUGGAUUGAGAACUGGCUGAAUGGCAGAGCUCAGAGAGUUGUGAUCAGCGGCGCAGUCUAG